RNAcentral lists this long non-coding RNA (281 nucleotides) under Elaeis guineensis (African oil palm). RNAcentral's name for it is "long non-coding RNA (EGUI_LNC067557)". The record is from RNAcentral. Lineage: Eukaryota; Viridiplantae; Streptophyta; Magnoliopsida; Arecales; Arecaceae.
CGAGCCACACUUGCAGACAGAAUCGAUAAAGUUCAUCCAAGUUGGAUGAAACAAGAGAUAUAGGAUGAAUUGCAUCAAAAGCAUUAGCUUAUAAAUCAGUGACAGUAGAAGCAUAAAGCUGCUCGAAAAAAUUGAAUGAAGCAAAAUGAAGGAUCGAUCACCAAGCAUUCCAGGGGUUUCAUUCCCUUUGUGAUGCAAAAGAGGAGGAUGGUGAUUUAUUAAGUAUUUCUCUAUUGUUAUUGAUAUUUAUAUUUAGUUAUAUAUUUAUGAAAAAGUACUUG